This 253-nucleotide ribosomal RNA is filed under the name uncultured bacterium. RNAcentral describes it as "partial 16S ribosomal RNA". It matches the Rfam family "Bacterial small subunit ribosomal RNA", at positions 524 to 776 of the family's 1533-position model. The record is from RNAcentral.
UACGUAGGGGGCAAACGUUGUCCGGAUUUACUGGGUGUAAAGGGUGCUCAGGCGGUCUUGUAAGUUAGAAGUGAAAUCCUAGGGCUUAACUCUGGAACUGCUUUUAAUACUGCAAGGCUUGAAUAUGGAAGAGGAGGGUGGAAUUUCUGGUGUAGCAGUGAAAUGCGUAGAUAUCAGAAAGAACACCAGUGGCGAAGGCGGCCCUCUGGUCCAUUAUUGACGCUAAAGCACGAAAGCGUGGGGAGCAAACAGG